RNA transcript from Ornithodoros turicata, 3208 nucleotides. RefSeq lists it as uncharacterized. The record is from RefSeq and is a predicted model, not a curated record. Lineage: Eukaryota; Metazoa; Arthropoda; Arachnida; Ixodida; Argasidae. The transcript is spliced from 7 exons.
UUGUUUUGCGGGCGUUGCGCACCUUGAAAUCAGCCGGGAAAUAAAUCGCGCGUGUUUUCAUCACGACCUACUAGGUCCUGGUUCCCACCGUGGUAUUCAUCUAUUGCGCCUUGCGGUGAUGGAACGUUCCUCUGCACCUCGGACCAGUAUGUUGCCAUACAGCGCAUGUAUCACCACAAAAAAGAGCUAGUACUACACUCUUCUGGGUAGUUUGGUCUGAUGCAGGGUAACAGAAGCCUCACUAGCACGGAAGCCUACCAGGAAGCCCAACAUUCAUUCGCUGGACUUGCUCUGCAUGGACAACACGUACCUGCCAACUUGGAACAGUUUUCAGGAAAUGACUAGCCAAACUUCCCAUAGCAUGACGUUCAACAGCAUCAUGUAUAAGAAGUACUCUCUUGUUGUGCAUACUACCGAGCAUUUCCUGGACUUGCUCUACAUGGCCAACACGUACCUGUCUACUUGGAACAUUUUUCGGGAAAUAUCUGGCCAUUGGUCAUUCAACAGCAUUGUGUGCAAGCAGUACUCUCUUGUUAUGAACGGGGACAAGGACACCUGAGAUUAGAAAUUAUCAACAGGUUAAAUGGGACAGGAAAACAAGCAACUUCCACAUUUGGUCAUAUGGAAAACAUCGAGAGGUGAAAAGGGACAGGUAGAAACACAUUUAAAAUUGAGCCUUAGGAGUCACCAACAGGUGAGCCUUACCUCUUCCAAUUUCAGCCAGAAUAAUUGGCCCCAUGUUAAGUAUAGCUACACAGUGAAAAAUUUCCUUUAUUUUGCAAGUGAAAGGGGACAGGAAGGAAAACCUCCGAAAUUGUGCAGAGUAAUUCGUGGCAGAAUGUUGUGUCAAAAUACCUGCAGCACCACUUGUCCCAGCUUGCCGUGACAGACACUCUUCUGAUUUGUAAUUCUGCCUGUGUUGUUGAGUACCUAAAGGAAACCACGGGAGUGCAAAGAAGCUUUUUCUCCGUUGAUGUAGUGGACCUGCUUUACUCAGUUCCGCAUGCCACACUAUUUUACACGGCAUGAGCAUGCAUUGAGGAGAAUGGUGUGGUACCUUUCCAAACUUCCUGCAGAGUCAGUGAGCAUUUUUCUGAAAAUCUUGAGGUUAUACCUGUGCUCGACCUUUGUUACUGAUAGUGACAAUGUGUACAUCGUCUAAGGGCAUCUGUAUUGAAUCCUGUGUGGCUAUAGUACCAUGUGACAUUUUUCUGUACUCGGUUGAUCAUAUCAUAUGUUGGCAAGGGUGCUUCCCCAGCUAGGUGUAGAAGGAGAUGUUAGAUAUAUAGACGAUUUUCUUGUCCUUUUCACGGGGCCUUGCAUGGAUGAUAGACGCGGCCCUUCAUCCUUUCUUACGGCUACGGUGUUCGUCUUAGAUUCACUUAUGAAGUUGCAGUAGAUGGCUGUAGUAUUCAAUACACAAACCUCCGUCUAACAACAUCGACGGAGCACAUUUGUUGGCAGUAUUCCCCUCCGCCAAGAAAAGGCCUACCCCUUUCCAGUGUGCUCAUUCUCAGAUAGUAAAGAGGGAACUAGCUCUCAUGCUUAAGGAACACCCUGGUUACAUAAUGCCACCACCACAUGUUUGUGUCGUUUUCAGUGCAGGUGGUUCGCCUGCGGCAAGCUGGUUUCCCCGCUGAUCUUAUUUCCGCCAUAAAUAAGGCAUUGCUACAAACGUUACUAGCAACGUUUCAGCAAAGUGCAAUGACGAGCAAUCAGGGGUCCUCCCGUAUGUCCUACAACCUGUAGAAAUGUUGCUUUGAGAUUGCCAUGUCCCUCCUGUCUUUUCAGCCCCUAACAAGCUACACAGACUGCGUGGGAUUAUUUCUCGCAGCGAUGUUGCAUAAGAAUGACCCAUAAAACAUGCCAACAAGUUUGUCGAGUGCAAGAGUAAUGUUGUUCACAGUAUUCAGUUUACAUGCGUUAUGAUCUAUGCGGGCCAGUCAGGUAGAUGCAUUAAUGUACGCCUGAGGGAGCAUCCCAACUCCCUAAAAGGUAACCCCCCUUGCAACCUGACUUUUCAUUCUAGACAAUGCGGUUGCGACCCACUUUUUAAUUUGAGAAGAAAUAGUUUCUCUUUACAGUAUGCUGUCAUACGGGCACUGCAAUAGUGGUGAUGAUGGAAAGGAUGCCGUGGGACAAACCACAAGCCGGGGUGUCAGCAUGGGACCCGUGGGUCUUACGGAACACAUUCACGGGCUGCCACCUGACAAUACUGUCUUACCUACCCUCUUCUAGGCUACUUUCUGUCACCACUAUUAUGCCUCAGCCUCCCCUUAGAGCUAUCCCAUGCCUGCACCAAACCUUACGACAGACAGAUCCCGUUUCAAACCUGGGUUUUUCUGAACAGCAGUCAAGCACUAAACCAACUGAGCUAUCCACUUUAUUUUUUUUUCCCGAAGGAAAAGCUUUAUGCACUUUUACAAUGUUUACACUGUGCACAGACACAAAGCACAGCUGAGUAAAUUGGAGGGGCUUGGAGGGUUCGACCAAGGUAAAUCUUGAAUCGACCACCAUGUCUCUUCUGUUUAUCCUGUCUUCAGAUGAGCUUGGGGACUUUGCAGUACCCCUCAGCAGAUAACUACGGGUUUAUGUGCCAUCGUCUGGCAGUGGGCUCUUCUGCUGCACUGUCCAUGGCUAAUUUGAUUUCCCUCCAAUGCUUGUCAUCCUUGUGUCUUAGUUUCACGAAAGGUCCACUUCAACAAUCCCCGGAAAUAGCCCCAAGGUGUUUUCAAGAUUGCUUCCUGAUUAGCCACAGCUGUCCGUGUCAGCCAGAGUAAGUGCAGACCCAAAACGAUCAAAUUGCAAAUAUAUGCUUCAGGCUUUUUGUGUGUCCAAGAAUUUGAUCAGCUGCUAGUCGACGUCAAAAAUCGGGUUGAACACUUUCUUGAACUCUGCCCAGAAAACGAAGCGUAUCCACCCACCCCUCCACCCACCCGUUCAAGAUGACAGGAAUCCGUUAUUAACGCCAUGAUAACACGCAGCAUUCCAACCCUCUCAGUAACUGUGCUUAAUUUCAGCUCAACAUGAACACUUCUAAAAUUUGCUGAAAAUGGAAAGUAUUGCUCUCUUGGUGUUUUCAAGGGCCAAAUUAGCAAGGUCAUUCUUUGUGAUCUCUUCCACAUACAGAGUAAAGAAUGGAAGAAUACGAACUGGAAAGAUAAUGGAAAAAGGUAAAGAAUAAAAGAUCGAGGUUUUCUAUGCCAAA